RNAcentral lists this transfer RNA (74 nucleotides) under Pseudomonadota bacterium. RNAcentral describes it as "tRNA-Gly". It matches the Rfam family "tRNA". From Rfam's summary of the family: Transfer RNA (tRNA) molecules are approximately 80 nucleotides in length. Their secondary structure includes four short double-helical elements and three loops (D, anti-codon, and T loops). Further hydrogen bonds mediate the characteristic L-shaped molecular structure. tRNAs have two regions of fundamental functional importance: the anti-codon, which is responsible for specific mRNA codon recognition, and the 3' end, to which the tRNAs corresponding amino acid is attached (by aminoacyl-tRNA synthetases). tRNAs cope with the degeneracy of the genetic code in two manners: having more than one tRNA (with a specific anti-codon) for a particular amino acid; and 'wobble' base-pairing, i.e. permitting non-standard base-pairing at the 3rd anti-codon position. RNAcentral also lists the same sequence under 5 other names. The record is from RNAcentral. Lineage: Bacteria; Pseudomonadati; Pseudomonadota.
GCGGACGUAGUUCAGUUGGCUAGAACAUUUCCUUGCCAAGGAAGAGGUCGCGGGUUCGAAUCCCGUCGUCCGCU